GCGGCUGUGGCGGAAUUGGCAGACGCGCUAGGUUCAGGUCCUAGUCCGGAUUACUCCGGGUGGAGGUUCGAAUCCUCUCAGCCGCA
Molecule: transfer RNA, 86 nt
Filed under: Candidatus Effluviviaceae Genus IV sp.
Lineage: Bacteria; Candidatus Effluviviacota; Candidatus Effluviviaceae
Description: tRNA-Leu
Rfam family: tRNA
About the family: Transfer RNA (tRNA) molecules are approximately 80 nucleotides in length. Their secondary structure includes four short double-helical elements and three loops (D, anti-codon, and T loops).
Source: RNAcentral